Molecule: long non-coding RNA, 499 nt
Organism: Mustela lutreola (European mink)
Lineage: Eukaryota; Metazoa; Chordata; Mammalia; Carnivora; Mustelidae
Exons: 4
Source: RefSeq, a predicted model, not a curated record
CCAUGGAACAUAAUAUGAGGCUUGAACUCAUGUCCCUGAGAUCAAGACCUGAGCUGAGAUCAAGAAUAGAACGCUUAACCGGCUGAACUACCCAGAUCAAAAUGAAAUUAAUAUACUUCGAGGCCACAGGAAGACAGUCACCAUAACAGACCAUAGCCCCAAAUGGCAUUUAUGAAUUCCCGUGACGGAUUAGAGGAUCCAUGUAUCAGAGAAUUUUCCAUCAUUUUGAGAAAUCGAAACACCCUUUCCCCUCGGAAAUUCAGUGCUUUGAGAGAGAGUGCACGUGCCUGUUGGGGGGCAGCACAGAGGAUGAAGGAGAGAGAGGAUCUUAAGCAGACUCCACGCUCGGCAUGGAUGUCACGCAGGCGCAAUCUCAUGACCCUGAGAUCAUGACCUGAGCUGAAAUCAAGAGUUGGAUGCUUAACUGACUGAGCCACCAUGGUUCCCCUGGGACUUCUUGAUCACUUAAAAAUUUAAAAAAAAAAAAUUAUUCUCUCUG